CAAGUCGAACGAGGUCUGUAGCAAUACAGAUACUCGUGGCGAACGGGUGCGUAACACGUGGAUAACCUUCCUUCAGGUGGGGAAUAACCCAGUGAAAAUUGGGCUAAUACCGCAUAACAUGACGAUGGCUCAUGCUGUUGUCUUCAAAGCCGCAAGGCGCCAGAAGAGGGAUCCGCGGCCGAUUAGCUUGUUGGCGAGGUAAUGGCUCACCAAGGCAUUGAUCGGUAGCCGGACUGAGAGGUUGACCGGCCACACUGGAACUGAGACACGGUCCAGACUCCUACGGGAGGCAGCAGUGGGGAAUCUUGCGCAAUGGACGAAAGUCUGACGCAGCAACGCCGCGUGGGGGAUGAAGCUUCUCGGAGUGUAAACCCCUUUCGACCCGGACGAAUGCCCGCAAGGGCUUGACGGUACGGGUAUAAGAAGCCCCGGCUAACUACGUGCCAGCAGCCGCGGUAAAACGUAGGGGGCCAGCGUUGCUCGGAAUUACUGGGCGUAAAGGGUCCGUAGGCGGUGUGGCAAGUCGGAAGUGAAAUCUCUGGGCUUAACUCAGAGGCUGCUCCCGAAACUGGCAUGCUAGAGUGCGAGAGAGGCGAGUGGAAUUGCGGGUGUAGCGGUGAAAUGCGUAGAUAUCCGCAGGAACAUCCGAGGCGAAAGCGGCUCGCUGGAUCGCAACUGACGCUGAGGGACGAAAGCUAGGGGAGCAAACAGGAUUAGAUACCCUGGUAGUCCUAGCCCUAAACCAUCAGGACUUGGGGUUUGCCCUGUACGGGGCAAGUCCCGUAGCUAACGCGUUAAGUCCUGCGCCUGGGGAGUACGGUCGCAAGGCUGAAACUCAAAGGAAUUGACGGGGGCCCGCACAAGCGGUGGAACAUGUGGUUCAAUUC
This 887-nucleotide ribosomal RNA is filed under the name uncultured Acidobacteriota bacterium. RNAcentral describes it as "bacterial SSU rRNA". It matches the Rfam family "Bacterial small subunit ribosomal RNA", at positions 58 to 952 of the family's 1533-position model. The record is from RNAcentral. Lineage: Bacteria; Pseudomonadati; Acidobacteriota.